RNAcentral lists this long non-coding RNA (656 nucleotides) under Gallus gallus (chicken). Lineage: Eukaryota; Metazoa; Chordata; Aves; Galliformes; Phasianidae. The record is from RNAcentral.
GAGGCCAAGGCGGGGGGGUGUGGGGGGGGGUCAGGACCCCCUUAUUCCUUCUUGCCCCCCCAUUUGGCCAUCUUAUUAUUGAUGGGCAUCUUCUGGAAGCGGCUGGACUUCAGGUACGCCGCCACCUUCUCCAGCGCCUUCUCCCCUGCAAACCACUUUCUGUCCCCCAGGAAGGCGGAGAAGAGCCGCAGUUUGCCGGGCAGCUGCUCCAAAUAUCCCGGCUUCAGCUUCUCGAAGUCGGGGCUGUAGCACACCAUCACUAGGCUCAUACGGAAGUCCAUCACCUGGUUCUCCAGCACGUCCACGCGCUGCCGCUCCUCCUCCGUGUCCCCACACAUGUUGUGCUUGCGGGCGAUGUAGCGCAGGAUGGCGUUGCUCUGGGUCAGUUUGACGUCGCCGUCGAUGAAGUAGGGGAGAUUUGGGAAGUCCAGCCCCAGCUUCUCCUUCUCGUUGAUCCAUUGGCUCUUAUCAUAAUCGGGGGCUUCCCCGCAGCUGUACAGUUUGUCCUCAUAGGGCGUCCCGGUGUGCUCCAGCAGCAGGCGGAUGGCGUGGGCCAGCCCGCGGAUAUCCCAGUAUCCCAACACCGCCAUUGCUGCGCGCACUCCCGACGGCGCCCCCCCCGCCCCCUGAGCCCCCCCGCAGCUCCUCCCUUUCCC